RNAcentral lists this long non-coding RNA (1086 nucleotides) under Marmota monax (woodchuck). Lineage: Eukaryota; Metazoa; Chordata; Mammalia; Rodentia; Sciuridae. The record is from RNAcentral.
CCUAAUUGUAGCCAGGGGCACAGCUUGGAAGUGACAAAAAUGAGGCUCCUUGAAGCCAAAACUAGAAUCAACAUGCGAAUCACCUGCUCUGAGUUCCCUUCCCAAGAACAGAGCUCCCUGAGUUCUGGGAACAUUUACCUUUUGGGUGUGAGGGUGUCAUUUGCCCUUGAAGUAUUUCACAGCCCUAUAACUGGAUACUAAUUGCUAUGUUGGUGUCAGUGUUUCCUUUUAUUCAACAGAAGCUUAGUGUCAAGAAGGAUAAUUCUAUAUGUCAUGUUAAUAACAGAAGCCCAUCCUUUCACAAUCCAUGCCUCUCUACCUGCUGUUUCCUCUAGAACAUUCAUCCUGCCACACUCCCAUUCCACCUGACAAACUCCAUUCAGCCUUCUAAACCUUUUUUCUGUGCAGCCUUCCCUUAUCCUGAUGAUUAGUGGUCUCCUCUCUACUCCACACCUAACCCCACCAUGUAAAUAGCCAUUCUCUUGUUAUACAAAGUUAGUUAUGCACAUGCAUUUCAUGUCUGUCCUGUAGUUCCUUUUGUAUCCCCAGCAUCCAACAUAAGGUCUAGCAUCUAGUAGGCUCUCAGUUAGUGUCCAAGCCAAGGGGAGAAGAUCUAAGGGCAAAGACUGAAAUUCUAAAUUCUUUAAGAAAUCAGAGCAAAAUAUAAGGUGCAAUACCUAAAACAAUUAAAUUAGAUUACUCCUUCUUAAAGUAUUUGGUUGCACAGCCCUCCAGUGGCAAUCAAGGCAAUGCCCUGUGGCCCCUUUAUGGUAUUCAUUUAAAAGGCUCUUUGAGGCAUCUCUAGAUGCGGCUCUUUGAGGCAUCUUAAAAGGCUCUUUGAGGCAUCUCUAGAUGCGGGCAGCUUCCUUUACGACUGCAGAGCACGGCCUCCCCUCUGUUCCAACUGGAAGCUCGCUCCUGUACACCUUUUUGUCCUGUUUUCUCACGUUUCCACCACGAAGGAACGUUGUUUUCUUCCUCAGAGAUCAGCCUUCCUUGCCACAUCCUCCUCCACCCACCGCCUCCCCGAGCCAGGCAGAGCUGCGGGUGGUGGGGCAGGAGGGGGAGUCUAGCUCUGAGCCCCGG